RNAcentral lists this ribosomal RNA (564 nucleotides) under uncultured bacterium. RNAcentral's name for it is "bacterial SSU rRNA". It matches the Rfam family "Bacterial small subunit ribosomal RNA", at positions 102 to 694 of the family's 1533-position model. The record is from RNAcentral.
AAGGGGCAGUAAUGCGUGGGUAUUUACCCUGGGGUCUGGCAUAGCCCUGCGAGAGCAGGGGUAAUUCCAGAUGACGUCGAGAGACCAAAGGUCCGCCGCCCUGGGAGAAGCCCACGUGAUAUUAGCUAGUUGGUGGGGUAACGGCCCACCAAGGCGAAGAUGUCUAGCGGGUGUGAGAGCACGACCCGCGCCACUGGCACUGAGACACUGGCCAGACACCUACGGGUGGCUGCAGUCGAGGAUCUUCGGCAAUGGGGGCAACCCUGACCGAGCGACGCCGCGUGUGCGAUGAAGGCCUUCGGGUUGUAAAGCACUGUCGAGGGGGAGAAAAGCGAAAGCUUGAUCUAUCCCUGGAGGAAGCACGGGCUAAGUUCGUGCCAGCAGCCGCGGUAAGACGAACCGUGCGAACGUUGUUCGGAAUCACUGGGCUUAAAGGGCGCGUAGGCGGGUUGCCAAGUCUGUGGUGAAAUCCUCCAGCUUAACUGGAGAACUGCCGUGGAUACUGGCGACCUCGAGGGUGAUAGGGGUCUCUGGAACUGUGCGUGGAGCGGUGAAAUGCGUUGA